AGCCCACACCGUGGAGCUAAACGAUAUGUUUGGCCAGAUCCAGUCGCCUGGUUAUCCAGACUCCUAUCCCAGUGAUUCAGAGGUGACUUGGAAUAUCACUGUCCCAGAUGGGUUUCGGAUCAAGCUUUACUUCAUGCACUUCAACUUGGAAUCCUCCUACCUUUGUGAAUAUGACUAUGUGAAGGUAGAAACUGAGGACCAGGUGCUGGCAACCUUCUGUGGCAGGGAGACCACAGACACAGAGCAGACUCCCGGCCAGGAGGUGGUCCUCUCCCCUGGCUCCUUCAUGUCCAUCACUUUCCGGUCAGAUUUCUCCAAUGAGGAGCGUUUCACAGGCUUUGAUGCCCACUACAUGGCUGUGGAUGUGGACGAGUGCAAGGAGAGGGAGGACGAGGAGCUGUCCUGUGACCACUACUGCCACAACUACAUUGGCGGCUACUACUGCUCCUGCCGCUUCGGCUACAUCCUCCACACAGACAACAGGACCUGCCGAGUGGAGUGCAGUGACAACCUCUUCACUCAAAGGACUGGGGUGAUCACCAGCCCUGACUUCCCAAACCCUUACCCCAAGAGCUCUGAAUGCCUCUAUACCAUCGAGCUGGAGGAGGGUUUCAUGGUCAACCUGCAGUUUGAGGACAUAUUUGACAUUGAGGACCAUCCUGAGGUGCCCUGCCCCUAUGACUACAUCAAGGUGAGCCUGCAAUGAACACUUGUCCUGGAGAUGCUGGAAAAUCUUGGCUGAGUUGGGAAAAUUGAUAUUGCGGAACCUU
RNAcentral lists this small RNA (770 nucleotides) under Pan troglodytes (chimpanzee). RNAcentral describes it as "retained intron". Lineage: Eukaryota; Metazoa; Chordata; Mammalia; Primates; Hominidae. The record is from RNAcentral.